GAAUUUUGCGCAAUGGGCGAAAGCCUGACGCAGCAACGCCGCGUGAGUGAUGAAGGCCUUCGGGUCGUAAAGCUCUGUCAGAGGGGAAGAACCGCCACGAGGACAAUACCCUCGUGGUCUGACGGUACCCUCAAAGGAAGCACCGGCUAACUCCGUGCCAGCAGCCGCGGUAAUACGGAGGGUGCAAGCGUUGUUCGGAAUUAGUGGGCGUAAAGCGCGCGCAGGCGGUCUGUUAAGUCUGAUGUGAAAGCCCCGGGCUCAACCCGGGAAGUGCAUUGGAAACUGGCAGACUUGAGUACGGGAGAGGGAAGUGGAAUUCCGAGUGUAGGGGUGAAAUCCGUAGAUAUUCGGAGGAACACCGGUGGCGAAGGCGGCUUCCUGGACCGAUUCUGACGCUGAUCCGCGAAAGCGUGGGGAGCAAACAGG
Molecule: ribosomal RNA, 426 nt
Filed under: uncultured bacterium
Lineage: Bacteria
Description: bacterial SSU rRNA
Rfam family: Bacterial small subunit ribosomal RNA
Source: RNAcentral